RNAcentral lists this transfer RNA (74 nucleotides) under Verrucomicrobiota bacterium. RNAcentral's name for it is "Verrucomicrobia bacterium tRNA-Gln". It matches the Rfam family "tRNA". From Rfam's summary of the family: Transfer RNA (tRNA) molecules are approximately 80 nucleotides in length. Their secondary structure includes four short double-helical elements and three loops (D, anti-codon, and T loops). RNAcentral also lists the same sequence under 3 other names. The record is from RNAcentral. Lineage: Bacteria; Pseudomonadati; Verrucomicrobiota.
UGCCGGAUGGUGUAACGGUAGCACAGCAGACUCUGGAUCUGUUUGUCUAGGUUCGAAUCCUAGUCCGGCAGCCA